Molecule: non-coding RNA, 121 nt
Organism: Erwinia tracheiphila
Lineage: Bacteria; Pseudomonadati; Pseudomonadota; Gammaproteobacteria; Enterobacterales; Erwiniaceae
Source: Rfam
GCCAUACUACGGUGCUUCAAGGUGCAAAGUAAACGAUGAUCCACCAUGAACUCUGCGGUAAAAUACGUAUCAAAAUGCAAAAUCUCCAGGCCCUGAGUUAUAUCUUGGGGUCGUAACUUUU